Molecule: ribosomal RNA, 587 nt
Filed under: uncultured Bacilli bacterium
Lineage: Bacteria; Bacillati; Bacillota; Bacilli
Description: bacterial SSU rRNA
Rfam family: Bacterial small subunit ribosomal RNA
Source: RNAcentral
CGGGUGAGUAACGCGUAGGUAACCUGCCUCUUAGCGGGGGAUAACUAUUGGAAACGAUAGCUAAUACCGCAUAAAAGUCGAUAUCGCAUGAUAUUGAUUUGAAAGGUGCAAUUGCAUCACUAAGAGAUGGACCUGCGUUGUAUUAGCUAGUUGGUGAGGUAACGGCUCACCAAGGCGACGAUACAUAGCCGACCUGAGAGGGUGAUCGGCCACACUGGGACUGAGACACGGCCCAGACUCCUACGGGAGGCAGCAGUAGGGAAUCUUCGGCAAUGGGGGCAACCCUGACCGAGCAACGCCGCGUGAGUGAAGAAGGUUUUCGGAUCGUAAAGCUCUGUUGUAAGAGAAGAACGAGUGUGAGAGUGGAAAGUUCACACUGUGACGGUAACUUACCAGAAAGGGACGGCUAACUACGUGCCAGCAGCCGCGGUAAUACGUAGGUCCCGAGCGUUAUCCGGAUUUAUUGGGCGUAAAGCGAGCGCAGGCGGUUAGAUAAGUCUGAAGUUAAAGGCUGUGGCUUAACCAUAGUACGCUUUGGAAACUGUUUAACUUGAGUGCAGAAGGGGAGAGUGGAAUUCCAUGUGUAG